This is a long non-coding RNA of Notolabrus celidotus (New Zealand spotty), 282 nucleotides long. RefSeq lists it as uncharacterized. Lineage: Eukaryota; Metazoa; Chordata; Actinopteri; Labriformes; Labridae. The record is from RefSeq and is a predicted model, not a curated record. The transcript is spliced from 3 exons.
CUGCUCUGAGCUAAGUGUCUCACAAACAGGAAAGCCUCAUAAAUAUCAGCCUCAUGAAAAAACAACAGGGGGAUGAAGGUGAAAAGAAACAGCCCAAAUUUGCUGCUGUGGAUUUAAAAAUGCACCCAAGCAACAUACAAGCUGAUUGCACAUAAGGUGGGAGUGUACUAAGAAGUAAAGAAAGGAAGGAAGAAGACAGAAGAAAGGAGGGUGUUCAACUGUGUCUCCUUCUGCAGAUUUAGCAGGACAGUGGAGGAUCUGAUCUCCUCUUGAUGCUUUGGA